CUAGUACGCCUGGUAGUGGAUGAUUAAUGACUUGUAGAAUGAGCCCAAAUGCGAGCUUUAUAAUAGCUGUGGAUAUGGAGGACUGCAGAAUUAAGAAGUUUUGUUCUGAACCUCUUGCAAGCUUUUCCGUUUAGAUCCCACUCUUAUACACCCUCCUUCCACUCCACACCCACCUUGUUUUUGUUUUCCCCCCAGAACUACAAGACCGUUUCUCUCACCCCGAGCCCACCGGGAUGACCUGACCUGCAGUGCCCCAAACUUGUCUGUGUGGCAACAGUGUUUGAUGCCACCGUCCAUCAGAGCAGUGCCUUCUCUAGGGACUAAUUCACCAGAGGCUGCAAGAUCGUCCGCAGGAUGUGCCUCACUGGAGUCAAAGAAGUUGCUGAAAAUUGAAAACAGAACCUCCCGGGUCCUUUGAGUGAUCAACCAGCCUUGGGUGACCUGGCCCGUGCCUAGCUCUCCAGCCUCAGCCCUCUCUGACACCCUCCGGCUUGACAUCUUGUGCUUGGGGCCCUGCCCGCAGCCCUGCAGUGGGAAACGUAAGCAGAGCUAUCUGCCUACCUUCCUGCUCUGCGAUAAAGUGGAUGAGGAUCUGGGAGGACUGCCCUUUCAGGGAGAAGCCAGGAGACGCAAGAUUGACACACUUGAAGGGAACUCACAUCCCCAUCAGCCUGGAGCAACUCACCUGGGUCUGUGUGUCCCUCAAGGUCUCAGGCAGAUCCAGACUGUCUAAGGGAUGAGGAGGCUGAACCCAACUGCACCAGCACCUGGACCUUUGCCCAAUGGCAAUGCCCUUGUCUGGGACUCACUGCCUAAAUACAUGGAACAGAAGAGAAGAGAUAUUGUUUUAGCAAAACAUAUGCAUAAAUGAUUUCCUUGAAUUUUGAAUUUAAAAGUUGUGUAGCUAUACUAGAACACAUUUAUUUUAUCCUGGCUAUAUUUUGACAUUUGGUUCCUACUUAACAACAAUAUAUAUUUAAUAAUAUAUAUAUAUAAAACC
RNAcentral lists this long non-coding RNA (1000 nucleotides) under Felis catus (domestic cat). Its description in RNAcentral is "lncRNA (ENSFCAG00000051182.1)". Lineage: Eukaryota; Metazoa; Chordata; Mammalia; Carnivora; Felidae. The record is from RNAcentral.